CAACUAAAGAAUGCCAUUCUGCUGCUCUUGGAUCUUCCGAUUGCAAGUGACUCAAAUGCAGCCUGAGUUUGAUGAAGAAAAGGGAAUAAGCCAGCUUGGGUACCUCACAGAACCCAAAGGUUCCCUCUCCCCAUCUCAUCAACAGGAAGAGCACAUCAUUUCAAAUAUCGAAGUGGGUCCAUGUUUCUGUCAGGUGUCUCUGGACACACCUUAUGUAGUAUUAUCUCUCCUCUCAGAGCUGGGGAGAUUUCCAUCAUCUUCGUGGGAAGUUCGUGUUUCGAUUUGGAUUCCCAGCUUAUUGUGCAUGGCUUUUACCAAAAAACUUAUUUGAGCCCCAGUUUCAUGAUUUAAGACCUAAUAGUGAUAAUAAUAUUUAUUAAACUGGGAUGCUGAGAAGAUUGGAUAGAAAACCAUAAAUGCCUGG
RNAcentral lists this long non-coding RNA (424 nucleotides) under Equus caballus (horse). RNAcentral describes it as "lncRNA (ENSECAG00000040196.3)". The record is from RNAcentral. Lineage: Eukaryota; Metazoa; Chordata; Mammalia; Perissodactyla; Equidae.